UGUAAGUUUGUGUACCUACUGUAAAUGUGGACAAAAAGCCAUCUGGGAUUUAGUGGGCUUGCGAUGAGUUUAGCAAUGCCCAUAAAGAAUCCACAUUU
Small nucleolar RNA from Manihot esculenta (cassava), 98 nucleotides. The record is from RefSeq and is a predicted model, not a curated record. Lineage: Eukaryota; Viridiplantae; Streptophyta; Magnoliopsida; Malpighiales; Euphorbiaceae.